CGAUAUUUAAGUUGUUGCGGUUAAAAAGCUCGUAGUUGGAUUUCGGGCGUGGAGGUUCGGUCCGCCGUUUCGGUGUGCACUGUCUUUCUGCGUCUUUCUGUCGGGGACGCGCUUCUGGCCUUAAUUGGCUGGGACGUGGAUUCGACGAGGUUACUUUGAAAAAAUUAGAGUGUUCAAAGCAAGCUAAAGCUCUGAAUACAUUAGCAUGGAAUAACGCGAGAGGACUCGGUCCUUAUUUUGUUGGUCUUCAAGGAUGGAGUAAUGAUUAAGAGGGACAGUUGGGGGCAUUCGUAUUUCAUUGCUAGAGGUGAAAUUCUUGGAUUUAUGAAAGACCAACUUCUGCGAAAGCAUUUGCCAAGGAUGUUUUCAUUGAUCAAGAACGAAAGUUGGGGG
This 393-nucleotide ribosomal RNA is filed under the name Pycnococcus provasolii. Its description in RNAcentral is "SSU rRNA". It matches the Rfam family "Eukaryotic small subunit ribosomal RNA", at positions 607 to 996 of the family's 1831-position model. The record is from RNAcentral. Lineage: Eukaryota; Viridiplantae; Chlorophyta; Pseudoscourfieldiophyceae; Pseudoscourfieldiales; Pycnococcaceae.